Molecule: ribosomal RNA, 499 nt
Filed under: uncultured bacterium
Lineage: Bacteria
Description: bacterial SSU rRNA
Rfam family: Bacterial small subunit ribosomal RNA
Source: RNAcentral
GGCUCAGGAUGAACGCUAGCUACAGGCUUAACACAUGCAAGUCGAGGGAAACGAUAUUGGAAGCUUGCUUCUGAUAGGCGUCGACCGGCGCACGGGUGAGUAACGCGUAUCCAACCUGCCCAUCACUUGGGGAUAACCUUGCGAAAGUAAGACUAAUACCCAAUGACGUCUCUAGAAGACAUCUGAAAGAGAUUAAAGAUUUAUCGGUGAUGGAUGGGGAUGCGUCUGAUUAGCUUGUUGGCGGGGUAACGGCCCACCAAGGCGACGAUCAGUAGGGGUUCUGAGAGGAAGGUCCCCCCACAUUGGAACUGAGACACGGUCCAAACUCCUACGGGAGGCAGCAGUGAGGAAUAUUGGUCAAUGGACGAGAGUCUGAACCAGCCAAGUAGCGUGAAGGAUGAAGGUUCUAUGGAUUGUAAACUUCUUUUAUAAAGGAAUAAAGUCGGGUAUGGAUACCCGUUUGCAUGUACUUUAUGAAUAAGGAUCGGCUAACUCCGUG